This 420-nucleotide ribosomal RNA is filed under the name bacterium. RNAcentral's name for it is "partial 16S ribosomal RNA". It matches the Rfam family "Bacterial small subunit ribosomal RNA", at positions 355 to 776 of the family's 1533-position model. The record is from RNAcentral.
UGGGGGAUAUUGCACAAUGGGCGAAAGCCUGAUGCAGCGACGCCGCGUGGGGGAUGAAGGCUUUCGGGUUGUAAACCUCUUUCGCUAUCGAACAAGGCCCGCUUAGGGUGGGUUGAGGGUAGGUGGAGAAGAAGCGCCGGCUAACUACGUGCCAGCAGCCGCGGUAAUACGUGGGGCGCGAGCGUUGUCCGGAAUUAUUGGGCGUAAAGGGCUUGUAGGCGGCUUGUUGCGCCUGCUGUGAAAACGCGGGGCUUAACUUCGCGCGUGCAGUGGGUACGGGCAGGCUUGAGUGUGGUAGGGGUGACUGGAAUUCCAGGUGUAGCGGUGGAAUGCGCAGAUAUCUGGAGGAACACCGAUGGCGAAGGCAGGGCACUGGGCCAUUACUGACGCUGAGGAGCGAAAGCAUGGGUAGCGAACAGG